AUCAUUAUGUUAAGAAAGUGUGUUCCAUGUUCCGAGCCCAAAGGCGGAGUGGAUCAUUACCCAGGAGGUCUUUCAAAAAAGUCGACAUACUCCCCAUGGUUCACCUGCUCACUUGGAGGCAACCCACUAACCUGACCAGUUUUGUUUUGUACCUUAAGACAUUGAAAAUUAAAUGCCCUGAAUGAAGAGAAUCACAGACUCUCAGAAGCUAUCCAGUCCAAUCAAUAACUGACAUCCGACCUCUCCAUAACAAGCACAGAUUGGGGAAGAAAAAAAAACCCAUUGUCUUCAUGAUUAUUUGAUAUUGUGGUCAAGAGAUGACCUGUGAAAUAACAUCUGAUGACUUUUACAUUCAGCAGUGUGACAUUUGAAGUUUUUUUAUUAGUGUUUUAGAGAAGUUUUUUUUUCCCUGUACAGGUAUUGAUACUUUGCAUUUCUUCUCUUGAAAAUUGUUUGCUCCUAUCCUUUGACCACUGACUGAUGACUCUUGGUCAUAAACAUUUAUAUCAGUUCAUUUUUAUCUUGGAUAUCAUACCUCUAUGAGAGAUAUUUUGUGCAAAGUUUUCUCCCCCAAAGAGAAUGUUCUCUUCUCAUUUUGUUAACAUUGAUUUUG
Molecule: long non-coding RNA, 613 nt
Filed under: Phascolarctos cinereus (koala)
Lineage: Eukaryota; Metazoa; Chordata; Mammalia; Diprotodontia; Phascolarctidae
Description: lncRNA (ENSPCIG00000035327.1)
Source: RNAcentral